Molecule: long non-coding RNA, 765 nt
Filed under: Chloebia gouldiae (Gouldian finch)
Lineage: Eukaryota; Metazoa; Chordata; Aves; Passeriformes; Passeridae
Description: Erythrura gouldiae (Gouldian finch) lncRNA (ENSEGOG00005007938.1)
Source: RNAcentral
ACCACACCACCAGCCCUGCGGAGCUGAGCGUCGACAGCCGGUGAGCCAGGGCAUUGCUGUGAUACACAGGGUCUGACAACAGGGCUGGACAUGCAGCUUGUGCAGCUAUUUGCUACUCCAGAUCCCUCAUUGGCAACCUUCACCCUCUCUAGCCGGGCUCCACAGGUAAAUGAUGACAGGAAAAGCCGUGCGUAAAUCCACCAACAUGAGCUUAUGCACAUACUUCAGUCGCAAUCACAAGAUUUCUAGAACAACAAAACACCAACCUAAAAUUCCCCAGCAACAAUUUAUUUCAUGCUGACUGCAGGAGGAAACUCACUUAAUGCUAUCUGUCCUACCUUGAACAAUUGCCCCAAACAUAUUAUUAAAUUUAAAUACAAAUUAACUAUUCUGUGAACUCUGAGGGAAACAAACCACUAUUAACGAGUCAAGAGGAGCUUUUUUUCACAAAAUACAUCUUCCCUUCUGAGUUAAGCUUCAAGGCUCCAGCAAUCUGCAGUGGCUUGGGCCAAAAGCUGCACCAGAAGAGCAGGUCAUUGACAGAUUUAUUUGGAAUUGAACUGGCUAAAAAAUCUGCAAGACACUGCUAGCCCACGAAGGGAUGUGUAUUUCUGGCAGAAGGGAAUGGCUGAACAUCUUCAGGCGUUGUUAAUCUGACUGAAGUACAUCAGGCCCUCAGCCAAAUAGGGGAAGAUGAGACUGCAGACCCCAUUAAAUCAUCUCGUCAGCACAAUCUCUGGUGAAGGAAUACAGUAACUUCAUCCU